RNAcentral lists this ribosomal RNA (256 nucleotides) under uncultured bacterium. RNAcentral describes it as "partial small subunit ribosomal RNA". It matches the Rfam family "Bacterial small subunit ribosomal RNA", at positions 26 to 284 of the family's 1533-position model. The record is from RNAcentral.
AGGACGAACGCUGGCGGCGUGCUUAACACAUGCAAGUCGAACGAUGAUCCGGUUUCGGCCGGGGAUUAGUGGCGAACGGGUGAGUAACACGUGGGCAACCUGCCCUCCACUCUGGGAUAACUCCGGGAAACCGGGGCUAAUACUGGAUAUGAUCUUCGGGCGCAUGCCUGGGGGGUGGAAAGUUUUUCGGUGGAGGAUGGGCCCGCGGCCUAUCAGCUUGUUGGUGGGGUGAUGGCCUACCAAGGCGGUGACGGGU